Molecule: ribosomal RNA, 497 nt
Filed under: uncultured bacterium
Lineage: Bacteria
Description: partial 16S ribosomal RNA
Rfam family: Bacterial small subunit ribosomal RNA
Source: RNAcentral
GAUGAACGCUGGCGGCGUGCCUAAUACAUGCAAGUCGAGCGAACAGACGAGGCUCUUGCUCCUCUGACGUUAGCGGCGGACGGGUGAGUCACACGUGUAUCCCCUCCCUAUCAUACUGGGAUCACUUCGAGAAACCGGCUCUAAUACCGUAUAAUCUCUUGCACCGCAUGGUUCAUUAGUGAAAUACGGUUUUUCUGUCACUUAUCGAUGGAUCCCGGCCGCAUUAGCUAGUUGGUAAGGUAACGGCUUACCAAGGCGACGAUGCGUAGCCGACCUGCGAGGGGGAUAGGCCACAAGGGAACUGGAACGGGGACAAGACGCCUGAGGGAGGGAGCAGAAGGGAAACGGACGCAAUGGGGGGAAGGCUGACGGAGCAAGGGCGCGUGAGGGAUGAAGGGCCUCGGAUCGGAAAACUCGGUUAUUAGGGAAGAACAAAUGUGGAAGUAACUAUGCACGUAGUGACGGUAACGAAUCAGAAAGCCACGGCUAACUACGUG